UGCAUGCCUCUAGCAUGAAGUCAGAC
Molecule: ribosomal RNA, 26 nt
Filed under: Cladocopium sp.
Lineage: Eukaryota; Dinophyceae; Suessiales; Symbiodiniaceae
Description: partial 28S ribosomal RNA
Source: RNAcentral